RNAcentral lists this long non-coding RNA (512 nucleotides) under Malus domestica (apple). RNAcentral describes it as "long non-coding RNA (MDOM_LNC012497)". Lineage: Eukaryota; Viridiplantae; Streptophyta; Magnoliopsida; Rosales; Rosaceae. The record is from RNAcentral.
CUCGAGACACACCAGGAUUCCCACGUGCAUGCAACAGACAAUAACGACUCAAUCAAGGAAGUGUCAAAGGUGAUCAAAAUGGUAUUUAUUCAAAUCCCAUUCAUCACUCCUCAUCAAAUCCUUAUUUAAAAGGUAACUCCCAAAUUUCCUAUUAUGUGAAAUAGUAUCUGGCAAUUAUUCACCCAAUUACACCAUAUAUGGCUGGCCACUAUUCGUCAAAUAGGGUCCGCAACUCCCCUAUAUAUAGCCAUAUUAUCCCACUACAAAGCUAAGCCAUUUGCUACCCACAAACUCCUAAACACAUUCCUUUCAUAAUUCUAACUUUGGCAUCGGAGAUUCUUCGGCCAAAGCUGUUGGAAAUAUGCCCUGAAAGUCAAUCUUUGGAAGAAACCUUUCAGGACAAUGAAUGGAUGUAUAGAUGAUUCUUGUACAUCAAAUGGCAAAGAUACUAAUUAGGACUAUCUCAACACACGAUAUAUGUCCUAAAUAGUGAAUCCAUGGACAAUGGAUUG